Termitomyces sp. Mi166#008 is the source of this 87-nucleotide non-coding RNA. NCBI's taxonomy places the organism in Eukaryota, Fungi, Basidiomycota, Agaricomycetes, Agaricales, Lyophyllaceae. The record is from the annotation of a GenBank genome assembly.
GGGUUGAUGGCGUAGUUCGUUAUCGCAUCUGUUUAACAUAAACAGAAAGCCCACAGGAGGUUCUCAGUUCAAAUCUGGAUUGACUCA